RNAcentral lists this long non-coding RNA (343 nucleotides) under Pan troglodytes (chimpanzee). Its description in RNAcentral is "long non-coding RNA NONPTRT007371". The record is from RNAcentral. Lineage: Eukaryota; Metazoa; Chordata; Mammalia; Primates; Hominidae.
CGCGCACGUGACCGGGGUCGGGGCAGGGGGCGGGGCCGAGCGGGAGACCAGAGAGCUGGAGCCGGAUCCCGAUCCCGAGUCCGAGCCGCCGCCGCCGCCAUGAGCUGCCCCGUCCCCGCCUGCUGCGCGCUGCUGCUAGUCCUGGGGCUCUGCCGGGCGCGUCCCCGGAACGCACUGCUGCUCCUCGCGGAUGACGGAGGCUUUGAGAGUGGCGCGUACAACAACAGCGCCGUCGCCACCCCGCACCUGGACGCCCUGGCCCGCCGCAGCCUCCUCUUCCGCAAUGCCUUCACCUCGGUCAGCAGCUGCUCUCCCAGCCGUGCCAGCCUCCUCACUGGCCUGC